RNAcentral lists this ribosomal RNA (255 nucleotides) under uncultured archaeon. Its description in RNAcentral is "partial 16S ribosomal RNA". It matches the Rfam family "Archaeal small subunit ribosomal RNA", at positions 728 to 982 of the family's 1478-position model. The record is from RNAcentral.
AUUAGAUACCCGGGUAGUCCAGGGUGUAAACGCUGCAGACUUGGUGUUGGGAACCCUUCGGGGGUGCUCAGUGCCGGAGAGAAGUUGUUAAGUCUGCUACUUGGGGAGUACGUCCGCAAGGAUGAAACUUAAAGGAAUUGGCGGGGGAGCACAACAACGGGUGGAGCCUGCGGUUUAAUUGGACUCAACGCCGGACAACUCACCGGGGACGACAGCAAUAUGUAGGCCAGGCUGAAGACCUUGCCUGAAUCGCUG